UACGUAGGGUCCGAGCGUUGUCCGGAAUUACUAGGCGUAAAGAGCUCGUAGGUGGUUUGUCGCGUUGUUCGUGAAAACUCACAGCUCAACUGUGGGCGUGCGGGCGAUACGGGCAGACUUGAGUACUGCAGGGGAGACUGGAAUUCCUGGUGUAGCGGUGGAAUGCGCAGAUAUCAGGAGGAACACCCGUGGCGAAGGCGGGUCUCUGGGCAGGAACUGACGCUGAGGAGCGAAAGCGUGGGGAGCGAACAGG
RNAcentral lists this ribosomal RNA (253 nucleotides) under uncultured bacterium. Its description in RNAcentral is "partial 16S ribosomal RNA". It matches the Rfam family "Bacterial small subunit ribosomal RNA", at positions 524 to 776 of the family's 1533-position model. The record is from RNAcentral.